UACGAAGGGGGCUAGCGUUGCUCGGAAUUACUGGGCGUAAAGGGCGCGUAGGCGGCUCGACACGUUCGUUGUGAAAUCGCCCGGCUCAACUGGGCGGGGUCAGCGAAUACGGUCGAGCUUGAGCAAGCUAGGGGGCAAUGGAAUUCCCGGUGUAGUGGUGGAAUGCGUAGAUAUCGGGAGGAACACCAGUGGCGAAGGCGGUUGCCUGGGGCUUUGCUGACGCUGAUGCGCGAAAGCUAGGGGAGCAAACGGG
RNAcentral lists this ribosomal RNA (253 nucleotides) under uncultured bacterium. RNAcentral describes it as "partial 16S ribosomal RNA". It matches the Rfam family "Bacterial small subunit ribosomal RNA", at positions 524 to 776 of the family's 1533-position model. The record is from RNAcentral.